GAUGAAGAACGUAGCGAAAUGCGAUAAGUAAUGCGAAUUGCAGAAUUCAGUGAAUCAUCGAGUCUUUGAACGCACAUUGCGCCCCCUGGUAUUCCGGGGGGCAUGCCUGUCCGAGCGUCAUUGCUGCCCUCAAGCACGGCUUGUGUGUUGGGCCUCCGUCCUCCUCCCGGGGGACGGGCCCGAAAGGCAGCGGCGGCACCGCGUCCGGUCCUCGAGCGUAUGGGGCUUCGUCACCCGCUCUUGUAGGCCCGGUCGGCGCUUGCCGACACAUCAAUCUUUUUUCCAGGUUGACCUCGGAUCAGGUAGGGAUACCCGCUGAACUUAAGCAUAUCAAUAAGCGGAGGA
Molecule: unclassified non-coding RNA, 345 nt
Filed under: soil metagenome
Description: partial contains 5.8S ribosomal RNA, internal transcribed spacer 2, and large subunit ribosomal RNA
Rfam family: 5.8S ribosomal RNA (bases 1-120)
Source: RNAcentral